GACGAACGCUGGCGGCGUGCUUAACACAUGCAAGUCGAACGGAAAGGCCCUGCUUUUGUGGGGUGCUCGAGUGGCGAACGGGUGAGUAACACGUGAGUAACCUGCCCUUGACUUUGGGAUAACUUCAGGAAACUGGGGCUAAUACCGGAUAGGAGCUCCUGCUGCAUGGUGAGGGUGGGAAAGUUUCGGCGGUUGGGGAUGGACUCGCGGCUUAUCAGCUUGUUGGUUGGGUAGUGGCUUACCAAGGCUUUGACGGGUAGCCGGCCUGAGAGGGUGACCGGCCACAAUGGGACUGAGAGACGGCCCAGACUCCUACGGGAGGCAGCAGUGGGGAAUAUUGCACAAUGGGCGGAAGCCUGAUGCAGCAACGCCGCGUGCGGGAUGCCGGCCUUCGGGUUGUAAACCGCUUUCGCCUGUGACGAAGCGUGAGUGACGGUAAUGGGUAAAGAAGCACCGGCUAACUACGUG
Molecule: ribosomal RNA, 468 nt
Filed under: uncultured bacterium
Lineage: Bacteria
Description: partial 16S ribosomal RNA
Rfam family: Bacterial small subunit ribosomal RNA
Source: RNAcentral